This 1339-nucleotide long non-coding RNA is filed under the name Marmota monax (woodchuck). The record is from RNAcentral. Lineage: Eukaryota; Metazoa; Chordata; Mammalia; Rodentia; Sciuridae.
UGCUGCACAUGAAGCUGCCACCACACUCGAUGGAACUAGGUAGAUCUCUGUUCCUGGGAAUCUUGGUCAUAUCCCCAUAAAAGCUCUUAUUACAUUGUUCUGUAACUGUGGCCUGCCUUGAGAGCCUAGACAAUCUAAUUUAUCCUGUUACCGUAUUACUUGGUGCUGUUCAUUCAGUAUUUAGGUGUCUAUUGAAUUAUUGCAUUUACCAUUUGAGAAGUAGUAGAAUUAUUAUAAUGCACACUCAUGUGAAUGAAACAUCCCACACCCUGUGCAAAGGAUUUUUUGGCAAGUGUCAGGAAUUAUGCUAAAUAUGUAAAAGGCACUUGGUUACAUUUAUGCAACUUUGUAUAAAUAAAGCCAACAGAUUUAUUAUUUGGAAAAACCAGGUUAGAUACUAGUGGCUUAAGAGAUGUCCCUAAUUCUGUCAUCUAAACUUAAAAACUGAACAUGAAAGCAUUUUAAUAAUUCCAUACAUCUUGACUGCCUGUGAAAAUACUUUUUCAUAUGUAAUUAAAGCUAACAAACUCAAAAGGGUCUUCAGGUGUCAAGGUAUAUAAUGUACUCAACUAAAAAAGUUAAAGAAUGGUCCUUGGAGCUAUUCUGCUGAAUUCGUCUAACUCAUCUGCCUUUAAUAGCUGUGUGAUCUUGGGCAAGUUACUUGAUAAUUCUGUACCUCCUUUUUCUCAGCCAUAAAUUAAAGAUGAUAAUAUUACUUUACCUGGUUGUGGUGAAGAAUAUGCCUGAGCUAAUGCAUGUUAAAUACUUAAAAAGAAUGGCUGACAUAAAAAAUACUUCAUACAUGUUAAUUAUAAUUAAUUUAAAGUGAUUUAUUAUUUAAACAUAAAUACUUAAUGUGCAUGAUUUCUGUCUUGUAAAGAUAAUUGCUUGAAUGUGUGACUAUCUGAUUUAAAAGAAAUUUAACAUUUUUGCUAACAGUUCCCUCUUAUCAGAGGUUUUACUUUCCUUGGUUUCUGUUUCCCAUAGUUAGCCGCAAUCUGAAAGUAAUAAAUAGAAAAUUUCAGAAAUAAACAAUUAAUGAGUUUUGAGUUGUGUAACAUUUUUGAGUAUUGCAUAAUGAAAUCUUGUAUUUUCCCACCCAAGACAUGGAUCAUCCUUUUGUUCAGUGUGUCCAUGCUGUAUAUACUACCUGCCUAAUAGUUACUUACUAGAGUCUGGGUUAUCAGAACAACUGUGGUAGUAUUCCAGUGCUGCUUUGUUCAAGUAAAUGUACAGCAGCCAGAUGCUGUGUAACUCACUCCAUCUUAUGUCAACAUUGUAUUAUCUCACAUCUUAAGACAAAGAAGGGAGUGAGUACAAUAAGGCAUUUUGAGAGAGG